Heterorhabditis bacteriophora is the source of this 151-nucleotide non-coding RNA. Lineage: Eukaryota; Metazoa; Nematoda; Chromadorea; Rhabditida; Heterorhabditidae. The record is from Rfam.
GUCCGGGACUGAGCUGUUUCGAGAAGAGUGGAGACUGCUGUAUUGGGGCUUUCGGGCUCUGGUAUGAUGGAAACCAUUUUAAUCGCAAUGGCUUGAACCGGGCAAAAGUCGUAACAAGGUAUCUGUAGGUGAACCUGCAGAUGGAUCAUCG